Molecule: transfer RNA, 77 nt
Filed under: Candidatus Omnitrophota bacterium
Lineage: Bacteria; Pseudomonadati; Candidatus Omnitrophota
Description: Candidatus Omnitrophica bacterium (groundwater metagenome) tRNA-Pro
Rfam family: tRNA
About the family: Transfer RNA (tRNA) molecules are approximately 80 nucleotides in length. Their secondary structure includes four short double-helical elements and three loops (D, anti-codon, and T loops).
Source: RNAcentral
CGGGGCGUGGCUCAGUUUGGUAGAGCGCCUGGUUCGGGACCAGGAGGUCCUGGGUUCAAAUCCCAGCGCCCCGACCA